UCCAGUAGAGAAUGAUAAAUGAGAGAGCUUGAGAAUGUUUGUUGUGGUCUGCCGUUGAUCAUCCACUGGGGAAAGCUUGGUGAGUCAUAUAAGUUGAUCGUUGUCAGAUGAGUCAAGAGUUCCUCCAUUCGAUUAGACCGAGCUGAUUGUAGCGCCCAUGUACCAUUCCUCCAGAGCUCAGAGACUGUAGAAGAAAUGGGGAUUCCUGUUUGCCUUGGUCCUAGAGGACCUAUGAAGUUGAUGAGUUGGCCAUACUUCGUCCAAGGAUCAUACCAGAAGUUAACAUCAGCGCCAUUUCCUGGAUCGAUCAAGGUCCAUUGGAUCGCUAUUUGUCUGACAGCAAGGAUCUGCUUGAACAACCAGCAGCCAGAGGAGUUUGAUAGUACAAGUUGUGUUCCAGAGCUCGAGAUUCCUAAGGCCGAGACCUCCACUACGCUUCGGUAGAGUAACCUUGUCCCAUGCGACUCUAGCAACAUAUUUACCCUCAAGUGUACCUUUCCAGAGAAAAGCGUUACACAUUUUAUCAAUAGCGUGGAUGACUUCUUUAGGAGAGGCUCACAAUUUGCAGUCGAUAACUUUCUUGAGUUAAGUGGGAGGCCAAGAUAUCGAAUGGGGAGGGAACCGACGGGGAUACCAGUAGUGGAGACAAUGGAGGUUGUUUCUUCUUCAGAUAAUCCACUUGGGAAGAAACAUGAUUUUUCUACGCUGAUGGCUAGCCCGGAGAAAGCUUUAAAUUCAUCAAGGACUUGGAGAACUCCCUGGACUGAGUUAGAAGAGCCAUCAGUGAAUAUGAGGAUAUCAUCCGCGAAGCAUAAGUGGGUAUGGGGAGAGAGGGUCGCCCUGGCGCAGUCCUCUGGUGCCAUUGAAAAACCCAUGGAGCCUCCCAUUGAUGUCAACAGAGAAGGAAGGUGUAGAAUAACAGGAUGAGAGCCACCGAAUGUACAAGUUUGGCAGGUUGAGCGCUUGGAGACAGGCUGUCAGGAAGUCCCAUCUUACCGAGUCGAAGGCCUUGGCUAUGUCAAUUUUUAAGGGGAAGGAAUCAAGGAGAGCUGAGCAGACUGCGCUGGAGAGAUAGAGAACCUGUCCGAGCGAAUCAUGUCUGCGACCUGUGCAAUCAGAGCUGGUGACGUUUUGUGAGUUAGGGGCCCGAGGAUACUUUGAAAAUGAGAGACCACAACUGUGCCAAUGUCCUCCGGUGAGGAGGCGACAAAACCAUUCAGGCCGAUGAGGACGGUAAUAGUAUUAUACGCUUUCCUGGCUUUUGCCACUUUCUGGAAGUAGCUAGUAUUAAGAUCUCCACACUUUAGCCAGUUGAUUCUCGAUAGCUGUUUGAAGUAUUCCUCUUCCACUCUUUUCAGCAUGUUUAGUUUAUCCAAGAGCUCUUUUUCUGCAGUGAAGUUGGGACCAGUUGGUUGUUGAAGAGAUAGUACCUGCGCAUCAUGAAACAAACUAUUAGUUUCAUUUACUCUUUUUUGAAUCUCUGAGAAGUUUUCUUUGUUUAGCCUCUUUAACUCUCUCUUUAACUCUUUCUGUUUAGCACUCAACAAGGCGAGCGAAUGAAUCUCAGUUUCAGUGCAAGUCCAGAACUCAGCCACCAGGGACAGGAAACCAAGGUGAGAGGGGCUAGGAAUUGAGCAAGACUGCGGGGGUGGAGAUCAAGCCAAUGCUCGUUGAUUAGAGCACGGUCUAAUUUUUUAGCAAUCGGGUCUUCAGGGCGUUUAUUGGACCAGGUGAAUCUCAGGCCAUGAAACCUCAGGUCUCUGAUUUCAAGUUGACUGAGACAUGAGUUGAACUCAACCAUUUGCGGAGUAAAGGAUGUGACGGUAGUGGCCGAGUGUUCAGCAGGAUGAGUGAUCUCGUUGAAAUCGCCUCCAACUAGCCACGGGGAUGAGUCUAGAGAAUGAGAAUGCUGCAGGUUUAAGAGUUCAACCCAUAGCUCAGACCUCUCUUCUACAGUGUUCCCCGCAUAUAUGGCAGUGAAAAAGAAUGGAGCAUCUGGUGGGGUUUCAACCCGACAGGUCAUUGAUUGACGAGACUGAUGCAAGACAGUGACAUUGAUAGAGGGUUUCCAGAUGAUAAUAAUCCGACCAUCAUGGUCAGAGAGGUGAUUAGAGCAGUAAUUCCAGCCAGGACAGAGGGAAUUGAGGACAGGGAUCAAAUUGGGUUCUUUGAGAUGGGUUUCUAAAAGGGCACCUACACUAAUAUGGUGAUUAUAUAUCCAACAUUAUUAAUUUGUUUAUUUCUGUUUAUUUCUGUUUUAUAUUAAACCCAACAUUAUUAAUUUGUUUAUUUCUGUUUUGUUUAA
Molecule: long non-coding RNA, 2305 nt
Organism: Brassica napus (rape)
Lineage: Eukaryota; Viridiplantae; Streptophyta; Magnoliopsida; Brassicales; Brassicaceae
Exons: 6
Source: RefSeq, a predicted model, not a curated record